RNAcentral lists this long non-coding RNA (5163 nucleotides) under Sus scrofa (pig). Its description in RNAcentral is "lncRNA (ENSSSCG00000062315.1)". The record is from RNAcentral. Lineage: Eukaryota; Metazoa; Chordata; Mammalia; Artiodactyla; Suidae.
UUUUUUUUUUUUUUUUUUUUUUUAGGGCUGCACCCACAACAUGUGGAAGUGCCCACGCUAGGGGUCGAAUUGAAGCUGCAGCUGCUGGCUGCAGCCACAGCAACACCAGAUCUGAGCUGCAGCUACAUCUGUAAAUUACAAGGCAGCUCAUGGCAAUGCCAGAUCCUUAACCCACUCAUCAAGGCCAGGGAUAGAAUUCGCUUCCUCAUGGAUACUAGUCAGGUUCAUUACCACUGAGGCACAGUGGGAAUGCCAAGCAAAGACUAUUCUUUAUUCUUACUGUUAUUCGAUAGUUUGGCAAAACUCGUGUUUAAAUUUAAUAAAUUUUAAGGAAAGGUGAGCCGGCUUCGAUUAUUCUCUUCUCUAACUGGAACAAAACACAAGACCAGAAAGACACCAGAAACCUUUUCUUGAGGAUAUGAAGAAGUAAAUAGAUAUUAAUUUCUUAUUCUUCUUGCAUGAUAAAUGGUAGUGCCUUUAAAAUCUCUGUGUGUAGGAUAUAUGUAUACAUGCCCAUUUGUGAGAGAGAUUGUACUCAGUAAUUGUUGUGUGUUGGUGAAUGCAGAGAUGGAUAACAGGUCCCCCUGCCAUAAUGCGUUCAUUGUCUAUUGGGGAAACAGGUGUAUAAACCAACAAUUAUAGUAUGCUAGGUGCCAGGUGCCAUAGCAGAUAAGUAUACCAGGUACCCAGGAGCUCUGAGCAUAAGGACCUAACUUAGCCUCAAGGGGUCAGCAAGACCUUCUGGACAAGCUGACAUCUUAGCUGGUUCUUAAAGAGAGAGAUGUCAGACAAGGAAAAAAGCCCAGAAGGAGGUUUUGGGUAGAGCUUGGGCAAAGGCAUGAGAAAGAGCGUUCUUUUGGAAGCUGGAAGCGGGGCUGGGCCGUGAUAAGAUGUCAACCAGUCAAGAGGCCUGGGCAGGGGUCCGCUCCAAAAAGCCUCCCUGCCAUGUUCAAGAGCUCCCUCCAGGCCCAUGUGGAGACCCUGACAUGAUGUGCCAGGUGGGUGUGGUCUUAGAAUCCAGCUCUCUGUUAUCUCCGAGAGUUCCCUGGGGUGAAGCUGAUGGGGGCCUGAUCCAGGCAUUGGCAGUAGGAUGGAAAAGAAAGGAAAGAGUUAGUUCGGAGUGAUGAGGAAUUAAAAGUGAUCCCUAUUUCUGGUCUGAGUGGAUCUUGCUGCUACUUUCCAAACUGAUACAAAAACAAAACAAAAAACUGUGAUGGAAAAGCAUCUAGACUGGGGGGAGAAGAGGAAGAUACAGUUUCUAUACUUUGAGCUUCCCUGGACUGGGAGACAUAGGAACCUAGUGGGCAGCCAGCUGAUGCAGGAGCCGAGAGGGGACCCUUGAGGCUGCAGAUGAGGAUGGGGAGUCCUUACUGUAGCAGAAGUGGUUAAAACUUUGAGAGGCCAUGAUAUCAUUCAAGGAGGAGUGAGAAGCACAAGCAGAGCGGGGCUGAGAACAGAAUUAUAGGGAACAUCAACAUGGCAGGGGUGGAACCCUGAGAAACAGCAUUUGGAAAGGCAGGAAACCCAGAAAGUACCCCAUGACUACAACUGAAUUCAAGAAGACAGGUAGACACAUUAUUGUGCACAAUGAAUAUUCCUCUAUUAUUAUACUUCUUUCACAUUUUAGGUUCAAAGUUUAUAGAAACUGCCUUGACUUCCUUGACUGGAGAUAUCAAUAUAUCUGUAUUACUAUGCUCUUUUUUAAUUUUAAUUUUUUUCUAGUAAAGUAUAGUUGAUUUACAAAGUUGUGCCAGUUUCUGCUGUACAGUAAAGUAACCCAGUCAGACAUAUAUAUGUGUGUAUAUAUAUAUAUAUAUAUGUAUAUAAAAUUUUUCUAAUAUUAUUUUCCAUCAUUUUCUAUCCCACAUAAUUGGAUAUAGUUCCCAGUGCUAUACGGUAGGACCCCAUUGCUUAUCCAUUUAAAUGUAGUAGCUUGCAUCUCCUAACCCCAGACUCCCUGUCCAUCCCACUCCCUCUGCCCCUUGGCAGCUACAAGUCUAUUCUCUAUGUCUGUCAGUCUGUUUACCAUUUUUAUUAAAUACUGUGUUUCAUGACAGAUACUUUUAAGCACGGAACUGACUUUUUUUUUCUUCUUGCUUAUUGAUUAAAGCCAGAGUAUGAAGUGGUCCAUAAAAAUGAUCCUCCUUUAUCUCCUCAUGUCUCACCCCUUCCAGGGAAAACUAGACUCAUAAAACCUUCUGUGUGAGUCCUGGGCUGCGUUUAGGUCAAUUCUUCUCUUUAACUGAAUCCAUUCCAUUUUCUCUCAUCAUGCUCAAAAGAUGGUCCCUUCACUGCGUUUCACGUUCUUUCAUGAAAUGUUUGUCCUAAAUCUCUUUUAUUUUGAGUGGCACUUAUAAACUAGACUCUAGCACAGAACAGAUGUAUUCAUUUAAUAGUUUGCUUUGAUGGCUCCUUUAAGAGGCUUUAUAAUCUUUAUAUUUUACCUUUGGGUUUGGAAUUUUAUGCUCCUUUAACAGGUGUAUUACCUUCAUCAGAUGUUUUCAUUUUAAGCUGUUGACUUAUAAACACAUGGCCUGCGGGGAUUGGUGUGCAGGAAAUUUAUUCACUUACAGAUUUAUUCUCCUAUUCAUCUUUGUAUUUAGUGCAGGGAUAUGCAGAGAACCUUAGAUUGAUUGAUAGUGACAGCUUGUGGGUAAAAAUAACUUUUUUGAUGACCAAAAUAAUUGUUUCUUCCCGUUGACAAUGGGUCGGUGAAAGAUCACUCGUAUUGAGAGGAUUUUGUAAAAAGUUAAUUACAACCAGAAUGCUUUUAGGCCCAUAUUUAGUUCUCUGGGUUUGCAUUUUAGGAGAAGAUUGUGCUUCCCCAUCUCUUCUGAGGACACUUGAAGGUUUGUCUUUUGAGCUAUUUAAUUGCUCAAGCAGUUCAUCCUUUGCAAAACAUAACGUGUUUUGCUCAACGCUGAGCUGUUCUGAUCUUAUGAUCACAAACCUAUCAGUUUUCCAUGAAAGAGAGGAAAGGGGGAGAAAAGCAUCCUUCUUCUGUUUGAUGUAUGCAAGAGGAUGGAGAUGAGGGGUCUUACAUGAAAACAGUGUGUGUAAAACCAAAGGGCCAGGUCAGGGGAUCUUUUCCUUUGGGCCCUUUGCUGAUAUGAAUGAGGGUGGAAUUCAGCGAGCAUCUGUGAUGAAGAAGUUGGUCCUGUCUGGACUUAGUGCUACAUGGACUUUUGUAUUUUCAAAAGGUAAGCUGGUCCAGGGCCUUGUGAUUGGAGUCCUGAGAAGACACAUGGAAUAAAAAACUCAUCCUUUACCUUUUGCCCUAGAAACUUGGACAUGUCUGCUGUCCAUGUCCAUUAACCCUUCCUCCAGGCAACACAGAGGGUCCCUGAAAAUGCAGUAGGGCAUUUCCUAGGAAGGGCUAGGGCAAAGCACUUGUCUACAUGGAGAGGGAGGCUGAGAAGUUCAAGACUGGCCCACCUGGUGUCUACUUUGUUUUGCAGCAUUACAAAUUGGGGUUGAUGGUCAAGUCCAUCUUCUCUGCCUAAUCAUCUUCAUCAUAAAACCACUGUGUGAUUCAACACAGUUUGGUAUCAUUCUACCUGUGCCCAGGAGAGGCCGGGACUGAGUUACCCUGCUUCCCAGACUCAGAAAUGACAUUUCUUCUCAGGGAAGGAGGAGAGUGUGGGCCAGGCCUACAAGGAGAUGUCUCAAGUUCUCCUUGCAUUCUGGGAUGUGGUUCUCUCAAAGAAAACUAUGUGGCUUCAACAAAAGAGAAAAGAAUGAAAAUAUGAAGACAGCAUUGAGGGUGAGAGUAAAGGAAAAGGAAGUCAAGAAAUUAUUUCACAGUGAACUUUUGGGGAAAUAUUUUCUCUCAAGGGGUGGGUGUCAUGCCCCUCUCUCUCUUUCCCAUCUCCAGAUGUCAAGUUAAAAUUUUACUUCGGUAUAAUUAGAGUAUUUGGGGACUUCAUUUCUAAGUCUAUGCUGAUCAGCGUAUACUCCUUUCUCUGCUUUUUUGUUCUGACAGCUCUUUGAUGUACUUCUUUUUAGCAGUCAUUUUAUUAUUAUUAUUAUUUUGCAUCAGAAGUAUUUGCUGAGGAUAUGUAUUCCCUACGGGACUGUGGAUUCCUUGAGAGGAACAUCCAUAUCUUACUCCUUUUUUUUUGUUUCCAUCACUAGCAUUUAGUCAUUACACAGUAAUCUCUCUCAUAUUAAGUUCAUUAAGCUCAUUUGUUGAAUAAAUGAGUAAGUGAGUAAAUAAAUUAAUGAUUGAGCAAGUGGAGAAAUUAUGAAAGUAACAGAUCCUGGAAUAGAGUUGUUUUCAAGAGGGUGAGUCAAGCCUAUGCCAUGGUCCUCAGCUGCCUCUUUUGACCUGUAUAUAAGUUCAGGCUCUCGGCUUAGUUCCAUUCCUCAGUCUGCCCAUCUGUCUAGUGUCUUCAGAGCCACUUCCUUAACACUGGAAACCCUGGUGAGAGUCAAGUGUUAGGAGUAAGGAGCCUCCAAAUUUCUUUUUACCCAAAACUUACCGCUAUCCUGGAGGUUCUGUUAUUUUUAGAAAAAAAAAAAAACAAAACAAAACCUGGAGUGGUACAGCACUGGAGGAGUUAAUGGCAGCCAACAAAAUGAAAACCAAAAGCUCCUGGGGAAAAGUCAAGAACUAGAAAAUGCAAUCGUUAGCUGAUAAAAUGUCUGCUUCAGUUUCGGCCAACUUCCUUGAACCUUGCCCCAUCAUAGUGGCCCCCCGUUGGAAGUGGCGAAGAGGUGUCAGUGAUAAAUCACCCUGCCAUGAAACAGCACAAACUUCAGUAAAUUACAUGUGGAAGGCAGAGGGGGUACAGUCAUGGUGGAGCCUGGGCGGGCGAGCCAGCAGGCUUCCGGUGGAGUUGAAUAUUUAUCCCUCCUUAGCCCUGGGAUGCCUUCUGUUCAUUCACAGAUGCAAAAUGAGUGGCCGUUUUCCAUUGAGGCCUUCCAUUGUAUCUGUCAGGAGUAGACCCAACAAACACACGGAGGGCAAAAAUGCUGGCGGACGCCUCCCCCUCAGACCCAGAGAGUCGGUGACGUACCAUGAACCACUGAAGUCAAUGCCUGCUUUUAUUCCCCUUUCUUUUUCCUUUUCUUUUUAAAAUUAUAGUUGAUUUACGGUGUGUCUUCGAUUUCUGUUGUAUAGCACAGUAACCCAAUCACACACAGUUCCCUCUGCUGUACAGU